GCGCGAAGAUCGCAACCGCUCAUCUCCUGGCGAGAUUUUGAGCUAGAAUGUCCAGCUAUCGCGGCUUCCAUGGCCAAUGUGGUGGUCAUCUCCAGCGCCUCGAGGAACGCUAGCUCUUCCAGAGAGAUUUCCAAGGAGAGGAGCUACAAUGCAAAGAGAUUGUCCCUGGCUGGGCCGCUGGCAGCCAUUUCGAUCGCUAGCGCCACGAUCGCGACGCCCUAUUGUGCUCUGGCCGAGUUCCUGAGUUACGAUCAUGCUAGCAUGCGCGGCGCGGAUCUUUCAGGACAAGACCUUAGAGGCGCUGUCUUCGCAGCUUGUGACUGCAGAAAGAUCAAUCUGAGAGGAUCAAACCUCGACAGCAGCACUGAUACUUUUGCGGGAUUCGAAGGUGGUGAUCUUCAAGACACAAGCUGGGUGCAAGCCUUGGCUGAUCGGGUCGUGUUCCGAAUGACGAAUCUACAAAACGCAAUCUUCACGAAUGCGAUACUGACUGGUUCACAGUUUGAUGGCGCAGAUAUCACUGGAGCCGAUUUCACAGAAGCAAUCCUGGACAACUACCAGCGUCUCAAGCUUUGCAAGCGAGCAACAGGGACGAACUCGAUCACUGGCGUUGAGACACGAGAGAGCCUCGCUUGUUCGUAGUCACACAAAGCAGUAACUUUCGACUCUUUGUCUGUCGAUCUCGAGGAUCAGGAAAAGUUAUUUCGAAAAAAGAAAAAGGGAGUGUUGUAUUUGUUUUAACUCCUUUGGAAGCUUAGUAUGGCUAGCA
RNA transcript from Selaginella moellendorffii, 769 nucleotides. It is a transcript of the gene named pentapeptide repeat protein Rfr32, with no coding region annotated. Lineage: Eukaryota; Viridiplantae; Streptophyta; Lycopodiopsida; Selaginellales; Selaginellaceae. The record is from RefSeq and is a predicted model, not a curated record. The transcript is spliced from 8 exons.